CUGGCAGAUUAUUGCAAAAAGGGCACGGGGCAGAGGGACUAUGUUGUGAGCCUGCGAAAGAAGUUUGUGUGGGGACUGUGGGCAGUGAAUGCGUUGGGAACAAUAUGGAAAACUGGGAGCUGCCUUGGAAUCUACAGGGCCGGGUAAGAGAAUGUCCGAAAGAAAAAUGAGCAGGUGCGGGAUGUGCGCAGAGUCGGAGAAGAGUCCAGGGCGCCCGGAGUGGCUCCAGGAACGACGGAAACCCCUCAAGGCUUUUGGGGGCGGGAAUCACCACUGUCAGACUUCAAUCCAACAGGACCCACUCGAGCCAUCCACACUUUCCCCAGCCUCCUCCAAAACAGCACACUUUCCGGCUGAAGAAAAGAAGAAUGGUAUUCAUGCAGUUCCCAUUUUACAGAUGAAAACAAGAGGACUUUUUCUGUGAAGUCAAGAAAGUGGUUACAAUGGUACUUUCAGCCUGUCCGAAUUAUGUAUUGCCCCUCCCCUUUUUAUUAAUAACAUUGAAGUGUGAUGGGACAACCACUGAAGCCGUCUGUUGAAACCUGCUGGGACUUUUUAGCCAUUCUCUUCAACAUAAAGAAUGGGUGUUUUUGGAGGGGGUGAGAGGAAUGGGGAAAUGUUGUCAAAGAGUACAAUGUUUUAGUUGAGACAGGAGGAAUAUAUUUUGUUGAGAUCUACAGCACAGCAUGGUGACUGUAGUUAACAAUGAAGUAUUGUGUAUUUCAAAAUUGCUAAGACAAUAAAUUUCAAAUGUUCUCACCACAAAAAAGAU
This 772-nucleotide long non-coding RNA is filed under the name Homo sapiens (human). Its description in RNAcentral is "HSALNT0352598". The record is from RNAcentral. Lineage: Eukaryota; Metazoa; Chordata; Mammalia; Primates; Hominidae.